This 465-nucleotide ribosomal RNA is filed under the name Vreelandella stevensii. RNAcentral describes it as "partial 16S ribosomal RNA". It matches the Rfam family "Bacterial small subunit ribosomal RNA", at positions 338 to 795 of the family's 1533-position model. The record is from RNAcentral. Lineage: Bacteria; Pseudomonadati; Pseudomonadota; Gammaproteobacteria; Oceanospirillales; Halomonadaceae.
CCUACGGGAGGCAGCAGUGGGGAAUAUUGGACAAUGGGCGAAAGCCUGAUCCAGCCAUGCCGCGUGUGUGAAGAAGGCCUUCGGGUUGUAAAGCACUUUCAGUGGGGAAGAAAGCCUUGGGGCUAAUAUCCUCGAGGAAGGACAUCACCCACAGAAGAAGCACCGGCUAACUCCGUGCCAGCAGCCGCGGUAAUACGGAGGGUGCGAGCGUUAAUCGGAAUUACUGGGCGUAAAGCGCGCGUAGGCGGUCUGAUAAGCCGGUUGUGAAAGCCCCGGGCUCAACCUGGGAACGGCAUCCGGAACUGUCAGGCUAGAGUGCAGGAGAGGAAGGUAGAAUUCCCGGUGUAGCGGUGAAAUGCGUAGAGAUCGGGAGGAAUACCAGUGGCGAAGGCGGCCUUCUGGACUGACACUGACGCUGAGGUGCGAAAGCGUGGGUAGCAAACAGGAUUAGAUACCCGAGUAGUC